GGAGCCGACCAGACAACCGCCGCCGCGUUACGGGGGAGGAAAGUCCGGGCUCCGCAGGGCAGUGUGCCAGUUAACGGCUGGGCGGCGCGAGCCGACGGAAAGUGCCACAGAGAAUGAACCGCCUAAGUCCCGCAAGGGGCCGGUAAGGGUGAAAAGGUGCGGUAAGAGCGCACCGCGUCCCUGGCAACAGGGGCGGCACGGAAAACCCCACACGGAGCAAGGCCAAAUAGGGAAGGACGGGCUGUUGCAGCGAUGCGCGGCCCGACGCGUGGCCCACGCGCCUUCCGGGUAGGCUGCUGGAGACGUCGGGUGACCGCCGUCCUAGAGGAAUGGUUGUCUCGGCGCCGCAAGGCCGCUAGACAGAACCCGGCUUAUCGGUCGGCUCCCCAC
This 390-nucleotide RNase P RNA is filed under the name Nevskia sp. Its description in RNAcentral is "RNase P RNA component class A". It matches the Rfam family "Bacterial RNase P class A". From Rfam's summary of the family: Ribonuclease P (RNase P) is a ubiquitous endoribonuclease, found in archaea, bacteria and eukarya as well as chloroplasts and mitochondria. Its best characterised activity is the generation of mature 5'-ends of tRNAs by cleaving the 5'-leader elements of precursor-tRNAs. Cellular RNase Ps are ribonucleoproteins. Lineage: Bacteria; Pseudomonadati; Pseudomonadota; Gammaproteobacteria; Nevskiales; Nevskiaceae. The record is from RNAcentral.